CAUCAGUGCCCGACCUCACUAAUACUCUUGUGGCCAAAUGGAAAAAAGUCCCCGCAGCAAUGUUCCAACAUCUAGUGGAAAGCCUUCCCAGAAGAGUGGAGACUGUUAUAGCAGCAAAGGGGGGACGAACUCCAUAUUAAUGCCCAUGAUUUUGGAAUGAGAUGUUCGAUGAGCAGGUGUCCACAUACUUUUGGUCAUGUAGUGUAUGUUUGGCACAAGUUAGAUUGAUAAAAUAUAUGUUUUUUAUGUAAAAUUCUUGGCACUGGUGUGUCUUAGUUGUCUGUGUAUAUAUAUUUGUUCUGUUUAAUCUUCAAAAAUACCUGAAACCAUUCACAUUGUCUGUGUUUUUUGUUUUGUCACUGUGUUUUUCCAUCUCCCAUCACCAUCAACCAUACCAUUUGUUUUUAGUAAUACAUUAACUGCCAUAAAGAGCUUUGUACCACAAGUUUACUGAAAGCAGAUUGCUCCUCAAACAAAAUGAUGGUUAUCCUGUUUUAAGUAUUACUUCAGUUGUAAAGUAGAUUUGAGGACUAUUCACUGCCUGCUAUAGUCUCUCCUGUUCCUUUUGAAAUAGUUUUCCCGCUUCUAACUUGUCCCAUUUGAAUGUAGUGUCUAACCUCUCUAGAUUUAUUUUGGUGUAGUUGCCCUUGUAGUGUAUGUUACUACAUUUGCUCUCUGAGUAUGGCCUAGUAUGAUUUACUACAUCACAAGGUAACAGCUGUCCGUGAAUUGGGCCUCUGGCAUCAAAUGAGACAUUGUAUCCAGAGACUGUGGUAGAAGCAAGGUACUGUAACCCCUUUCUAAUAUUUUGAAACCUCCCAGCCCUGCCGCUAAGCUAACGAGCAGCUCUUGUUCCGCUGCCUCGCGUAACGCCAAGCUCGGCUGUCACGUGCAGUACUAGUGCCUCUAUUGAUGCCUUAACUAACUCCUGUCUUUUCACCACGGGGCCUGUUUGCGCCACUGCACAGUGCAGGCCAUCAUCGCAUGCAGACAGAAGCAGCCGAGCAGGCUGGGGUCGACUUCACGUCCUGCGGAUACAAAUCAACCCUUCAGCAUCAGUAGUCAACUCUGUGAUACUUUCGAAGCGAUAUUAACACAGUUUGCACAGUUUGUUUCUUGGUAGUCUUAGACAAAUCUUCUUUAAAACAAAAGUAUACACCUCACACACAUGGUUAUGGGCUUAAAAAAAGAAGACACCUGUACCAUGUCAGAUAUAGAAUAGAAAUGUAUUUGCAUCCCAAUUUCACACUUUAUAAUCAUCACAGAAGACUGAAAUAUAACAAAAUUGUUUGAUAUAGAAACACCAGAUUUUCAGCGUGAAAAAAAAGAAAGGUUCCACCCAUCAGACCACUAGAGGGCGAUCUGGUCAUUUGACUGCAGGAAAGGGGUACUAAUGUGACUUUGAUCUGGUGCUGAAUCAUUAGAAAGGAGAAUUGAGAACCUACGUGAAAUGUAGGCUUGGCCUAUUCCGCACAGAACUCUCUGUUACGGUGGCUGUGGGAGUGUGCAUGAUCCCACGCUGAACUUUUGAAUAUCAACAAAAGAUGAGUCAUUGAAAUGUUCCCUUGCAUAAUGCAUGCUGAUUCAAACAAGACGACUUGCAGCCACUUAGCUGCUAAUUAUGUUGAUCCUUAGUUUUGGACCUAGCUAGCAUUAGCGUUAGUGUUAGCGUUAGCAUGACAACUCAACAAAUGGCAUAUUAGACAACGAAAAAUUAAACAGAGUCGUAUUCAUUAGGGCGUUUUUCAGUCCAAGUGAUCCCUCCCUGUUUCGGUCAAUUUUCUUCCAUUUAGUGCCUAAUGAAUACCACCCAGAAACAAAGACAUAACAUGGAAUCGUACAGUAAUGUCUGAAUCAAUUAGGAAAAUGUUUUGUUUGUUAUGCCUUUGCACGCGCAAUCAUAAUAUUUGUUUCGUAGUGUCCUUGGGGUUUGAACAGUAGUUACUUUGCAUAUAGUUUGUAUACCGUUGCUACUGCUGCACCCAAAACAUAUAGUCCUCUCAAGAAAGAACGAGAUCGUCGAGGGAGACUGCAAAGUAAGCGUUUGCACAGGUAAAGAGAAUACAAAGCAUUUAUUUAACCACAAAAGAUCUCUAUGUAUAAGGUUGAGAAAUUAUAUUUUCAGAAUUCUCACCUAUACUUCCUGUCUUCGGUUGCUAUGAUCAUGUACAUUGGCUAUGAUAUGGUUGCUAUGAUCAUGUACAUUGGCUAUGAUAUGGUUGCUAUGAUCAUGUAUAGUACAUUGGUGUAUAUUGGUGCUCUACAACACUGUAUUUGGGUAUGAUAAAGGUCUAUAACAGUUUACCACACAUUUGUAGCUUGUACAUUUAUAUGAAAUGAUAACCAUCUACAAUAAAGUACACAUCCUAAAAAAUAUAGAACUGCCAUUUAUAUCCACUGGUUCCUAAUCCUAUGUCCUUAAUGGCACAUAUUGGCUCUUCAUUUUUUUAAAUAAUUACAGUACAUGGUAUUGGAUUGAUAAAUGUAAACGUUGAACAUUAUUCUUCUUCUCUGGUUGGGAAACAAAGCAUGUCUGUUGUGUGUCCCCAGUCCAUUCUCUGUCUAUCCAAUGCUGCUCUCUCACUGUGGAGGUCAAGAUUUCAUGCUUUUGGUGAUGCCCCAAAUGACAUCCUAAUCCCUACAUUGUAAACUUCUUUUGAUAGGACUUGUCAAAAGUAGUGCACUAAAUAGGGAAUAGGGUGCCAUUUCGAAUGUACAUUUGUGUUUUGUCAAGGCGGUUUUGAGUGACAGCCCCCUGAAAGGGGAUCAUAUAAACCUGUCAUAUUUGAUGUGGGACUGUUUAUGGCUAGACCUGUUUAAGAGUUUCUGCUUUGGGCUCGGAGACUCUGGGGAGAGCAGGGGGGUCACUAUACAAGUGUAUGUACUGUACAGUCAGUCAUUGUGUCUGUCUAUAGUUCCGCAGUUAAAGUACAUACACUAUUUUCACAACUUUCUUUCUAUGCAUAUAUCUAUUACUAUUUUUGCACUGACCUAUGGAUGGACAGCUGGAUUUUAUUUUUUCACACAAAGGGUGCUAUUAUAACGGAGGCCUUCUCCCUGACAACAGCUUUUUGCAUGACCUGCUCAAUAUUCCCCCUUAUGAAGGAUCUAUGACCUCUCCUCCUCUAUUCUUAAAUCGUUUCGGUUUAAGCACUGUCAUUUUGUAAUCCCUUACCCUACUUGUGAUGUUUGAAAUAAACAGAGAGGCUAAAAGCUUA
This is a non-coding RNA of Salmo salar (Atlantic salmon), 3218 nucleotides long. NCBI's taxonomy places the organism in Eukaryota, Metazoa, Chordata, Actinopteri, Salmoniformes, Salmonidae. The record is from RefSeq and is a predicted model, not a curated record.